AUGUUUGUUAAUGAUUAAGUGUCAUUCACAAACUCUGAUUUAAAACAUCAAUUUAUGCUACGUACAUUUUCCUUAAAUCAUCAAAACAUCCAAAUUGAAUAAAAAAAACAACAACAAUGUAUUUAAGAUGAGACACAUUCAGCAUUUAUAAUUUUUUCUCUUUUUUUGUUUGACUUUGUUCAAAGUUUGCUACAGUAGCCUGUUAACAAUAGACCAAAGGUAUGAUGAUCAAUUAUAAAUGCAAUAUGGUUGAAAGCUUGACAAAAAUGUAGUUUGAAGGAGAAGGGACAGCUGAGUAACAAAGUCCUGGUACGCAGACGACGAUACUAUUACACUGACAAGAGUGUAAUGAUGAUGGAGACACAAGCCAGAGAACGGGGGGACCAAACACCAGGCCAGAAUUCUGCAUGAGUCAGAUCCAGUGGGUGCAGAUCAUCAUACAGAUGGUUCAAGUGUGGAUCCACCUGAUAUUCAAGAUUUUCUCUCCUGAGACCCUCAGCUGACCAUCAAGAAAGAACACACUCCAGGGGGCAUCCUUUUUCCAGACCCUCAUACAGAUGGUUGGAGUUUUGAUUCACCUAAAGUACCAUGCAAGAGCACUCAUUUUCACUCGUGAGACCAUGGUGUGACCUGCAAGGUCGAAUGGAGACUGUAAACAAGACAAUGUUGGAGUCACCUGCAUUCACUGGUCCAGUUGUUAGUCCAAUUACAGAUGGAGAUUAUAGAAGAGGAUGAUGUCUUUUCUCCAACAUCUUUCUAGACUGAUAAAAGAUCUAGACAGGCUCGAACAAAAGUUAACAGAGGGGCUUAUAUAGAGAAUGGUGAGCAGCUACACAUAAAAUAAGAACAUGGAGAAUCUGCCCAGAGGUGUUAACCAGCAAUGCAGCUAUACAACUAAAUUGAUGCAGGCGGAAACACAAGCGAGAAUGCAGCUGCAGAUGAAGAAUCCGUCAGUCUAUCACUGAAGGAGACGCAGAAAAUUCCAUCCAAGAUGUUCUUUGCCCGAGGAAGCAUUUGAUUAAUUUAAAGAUAUUGUGUUUCUUUGUAUGUUAUAGAAAAACGUUGCUUUUUUGCAUAC
Non-coding RNA from Paramisgurnus dabryanus, 1078 nucleotides. Lineage: Eukaryota; Metazoa; Chordata; Actinopteri; Cypriniformes; Cobitidae. The record is from RefSeq and is a predicted model, not a curated record.